GACGAACGCUGGCGGCGUGCUUAACACAUGCAAGUCGAACGGAAAGGCCCUGCUUUUGUGGGGUGCUCGAGUGGCGAGCGGGUGAGUAACACGUGAGUAACCUGCCCUUGACUUUGGGAUAACUUCAGGAAACUGGGGCUAAUACCGGAUAGGAGCUCCUGCUGCAUGGUGGGGGUUGGAAAGUUUCGGCGGUUGGGGAUGGACUCGCGGCUUAUCAGCUUGUUGGUGGGGUAGUGGCUUACCAAGGCUUUGACGGGUAGCCGGCCUGAGAGGGUGACCGGCCACAUUGGGACUGAGAUACGGCCCAGACUCCUACGGGAGGCAGCAGUGGGGAAUAUUGCACAAUGGGCGGAAGCCUGAUGCAGCAACGCCGCGUGCGGGAUGACGGCCUUCGGGUUGUAAACCGCUUUCGCCUGUGACGAAGCGUGAGUGACGGUAAUGGGUAAAGAAGCACCGGCUAACUACGUGCCAGCAGCCGCGGUGAUACGUAGGGUGCGAGCGUUGUCCGGAUUUAUUGGGCGUAAAGGGCUCGUAGGUGGUUGAUCGCGUCGGAAGUGUAAUCUUGGGGCUUAACCCUGAGCGUGCUUUCGAUACGGGUUGACUUGAGGAAGGUAGGGGAGAAUGGAAUUCCUGGUGGAGCGGUGGAAUGCGCAGAUAUCAGGAGGAACACCAGUGGCGAAGGCGGUUCUCUGGGCCUUUCCUGACGCUGAGGAGCGAAAGCGUGGGGAGCGAACAGGCUUAGAUACCCUGGUAGUCCACGCUGUAAACGGUGGGUACUAGGUGUGGGGUCCAUUCCACGGGUUCCGUGCCGUAGCUAACGCUUUAAGUACCCCGCCUGGGGAGUACGGCCGCAAGGCUAAAACUCAAAGGAAUUGACGGGGCCCCGCACAAGCGGCGGAGCAUGCGGAUUAAUUCGAUGCAACGCGUAGAACCUUACCUGGGUUUGACAUGGAUCGGGAGUGCUCAGAGAUGGGUGUGCCUCUUUUGGGGUCGGUUCACAGGUGGUGCAUGGCUGUCGUCAGCUCGUGUCGUGAGAUGUUGGGUUAAGUCCCGCAACGAGCGCAACCCUUGUUCACUGUUGCCAGCACGUUAUGGUGGGGACUCAGUGGAGACCGCCGGGGUCAACUCGGAGGAAGGUGGGGAUGACGUCAAGUCAUCAUGCCCCUUAUGUCCAGGGCUUCACGCAUGCUACAAUGGCUGGUACAGAGAGUGGCGAGCCUGUGAGGGUGAGCGAAUCUCGGAAAGCCGGUCUCAGUUCGGAUUGGGGUCUGCAACUCGACCUCAUGAAGUCGGAGUCGCUAGUAAUCGCAGAUCAGCAACGCUGCGGUGAAAACGUUCCCGGG
This 1343-nucleotide ribosomal RNA is filed under the name uncultured bacterium. RNAcentral describes it as "16S ribosomal RNA". It matches the Rfam family "Bacterial small subunit ribosomal RNA", at positions 28 to 1378 of the family's 1533-position model. The record is from RNAcentral.